CAAUUAUACCGUAAAUUUAAUUGUUAAUCUAAAGGGGUACAGCCCUUUAGACCAAGGAUACAACCUUAAUUAGAGAGUAAGAAUACUAAUAACCAUAGUUGGCUUAAAAGCAGCCAUCAAUUAAGAAAGCGUUCAAGCUCAACAACAACUAGUUCCUUAAUCCAACGAUUAUAUACUAACUCCUAAUUUACCACUGGACUAAUCUAUUAAUCAAUAGAAGAAAUACUGUUAAUAUGAGUAACAAGAUUUAUAUCUCCUAGCAUAAGCUUAUGUCAGACCAAAUAAUAACUGAUAGUUAACAGCCAAAUAAAUAUAAUCCUACAUAAACCAUUUAUUAACCCACUGUUAAUCCAACACAGGUAUGCAUAAAGGAAAGAUUAAAAGAAAUAAAAGGAACUCGGCAAACACAAACCCCGCCUGUUUACCAAAAACAUCACCUCUAGCAUUACUAGUAUUAGAGGCACUGCCUGCCCAGUGACAACUGUUUAACGGCCGCGGUAUCCUGACCGUGCAAAGGUAGCAUAAUCAUUUGUUCUUUAAAUAAGGACUUGUAUGAAUGGCCACACGAGGGUUUAACUGUCUCUUAUUUCUAAUCAGUGAAAUUGACCUUUCCGUGAAGAGGCGGAAAUACUCCAAUAAGACGAGAAGACCCUAUGGAGCUUUAAUUAACCUAACCCAACAGAACAACACUUAACUCCGCCAAGGACUAACAUAUAUUCUAACUGGGUUAUAAAUUUCGGUUGGGGUGACCUCGGAGCACAAAAUAACCUCCGAGAACUAUCUACUAAGACUGACAAGUCAAAGUAAAUCUUCACAAAUUGAUCCAGUCUCACUGAUCAACGGAACAAGUUACCCUAGGGAUAACAGCGCAAUCCUAUUCUAGAGUCCCUAUCGACAAUAGGGUUUACGACCUCGAUGUUGGAUCAGGACAUCCUAAUGGUGCAGCAGCUAUUAAUGGUUCGUUU
RNAcentral lists this ribosomal RNA (965 nucleotides) under Sorex araneus (European shrew). Its description in RNAcentral is "partial 16S ribosomal RNA". It matches the Rfam family "Bacterial large subunit ribosomal RNA", at positions 981 to 2578 of the family's 2925-position model. Lineage: Eukaryota; Metazoa; Chordata; Mammalia; Eulipotyphla; Soricidae. The record is from RNAcentral.